CAGAAUAAACCUCAGCUCUGUUCUCACUGUAAAUCCUUUGGCCAAUCUCUUCUUCGGUGCCCUUCCGCCAACUUCAAAUGGGUUCCUAAACCUCCCCCUUUGGUUCCGGACCCAUCGGUUACUUUUGGAACUUCUGGAGUUGUCAUCCCGCAUGCCCCUCCUCAUGGCUUGCCAACGGAUAGCUGGACUUUGGUGUCUAAAGGUCCCAAGCUUGAUGGCCCUUCAGCUUCCCCCCUCUCCUCGGUGAUGCCUAGCCCUAAUCCUUUUAACCUUAUCUCGCCCUCUGAUGGUUAUUCGGAUACAAAUACCACUCCUCCGCCCAACCCUCUUGUGACCAAGUUAAGACAAAUUGAUGAGAAGGAUGUCCGUGACCUUAAGCAUAAGGCCAAAACUUUUGCUGACACAACCCAAGUUUCUAAGAAAAAGAUCAAAGGAGCGGGGAGCCAC
RNAcentral lists this long non-coding RNA (447 nucleotides) under Panax ginseng (ginseng). RNAcentral's name for it is "long non-coding RNA (PGIN_LNC001791)". Lineage: Eukaryota; Viridiplantae; Streptophyta; Magnoliopsida; Apiales; Araliaceae. The record is from RNAcentral.